CUGCACCUCAAAUCGGAUUGGAUAUCCGUCUGUUUAUAAUAGAUGUGACGCCCCUUGCGGAUGAUGAGGAUUAUGAAGAUAUUAAAGAUGAGUUGGCAGAGUU
This 103-nucleotide unclassified non-coding RNA is filed under the name Chryseobacterium sp. YR221. Its description in RNAcentral is "Flavo-1 RNA". The record is from RNAcentral. Lineage: Bacteria; Pseudomonadati; Bacteroidota; Flavobacteriia; Flavobacteriales; Weeksellaceae.